AUCUCUUCUUGUCCUUUUGGCUAAGAUCAAGUGUAGUAUCUGUUCUUAUCAUUUUAAAAAUAUUAUUCAAAAGCUGAAGUAUUAAAAUAGCAACAUCU
Molecule: small nuclear RNA, 98 nt
Filed under: Canis lupus familiaris (dog)
Lineage: Eukaryota; Metazoa; Chordata; Mammalia; Carnivora; Canidae
Also listed under: 2 other names
Description: U2 spliceosomal RNA (ENSCAFG00000027340.3, ENSCAFG00030012546.1, ENSCAFG00040024258.1, ENSCAFG00845015606.1)
Rfam family: U2 spliceosomal RNA
About the family: U2 is a small nuclear RNA (snRNA) component of the spliceosome (involved in pre-mRNA splicing). Complementary binding between U2 snRNA (in an area lying towards the 5' end but 3' to hairpin I) and the branchpoint sequence (BPS) of the intron results the bulging out of an unpaired adenosine, on the BPS, which initiates a nucleophilic attack at the intronic 5' splice site, thus starting the first of two transesterification reactions that mediate splicing.
Source: Rfam by way of RNAcentral